RNAcentral lists this non-coding RNA (83 nucleotides) under unclassified sequences. Its description in RNAcentral is "RAGATH-12 RNA". It matches the Rfam family "RAGATH-12 RNA". Rfam says of the family: RNA motif Associated with Genes Associated with Twister and Hammerhead ribozymes (RAGATH). The record is from Rfam by way of RNAcentral.
AAGUAGCACUUAUAGGAACUGUCUGGUGAGCACACGAAAGUGUGAAUUUAAUCAUAGCGCUAAUUAAAUCCUGCUAUGGGGUA